UACGUAGGGGGCAAGCGUUAUCCGGAUUUACUGGGUGUAAAGGGAGCGUAGGCGGCUUAGUAAGUCAGAAGUGAAAGCCCGCAGCUCAACUGCGGGACUGCUUUUGAAACUGCCAGGCUAGAGUGUCGGAGAGGUAAGUGGAAUUCCUAGUGUAGCGGUGAAAUGCGUAGAUAUUAGGAGGAACACCAGUGGCGAAGGCGGCUCUCUGGUCUGUAACUGACGCUGAGGCUCGAAAGCAUGGGUAGCGAACAGG
RNAcentral lists this ribosomal RNA (253 nucleotides) under uncultured Eubacteriales bacterium. RNAcentral's name for it is "uncultured Clostridiales bacterium partial 16S ribosomal RNA". It matches the Rfam family "Bacterial small subunit ribosomal RNA", at positions 524 to 776 of the family's 1533-position model. Lineage: Bacteria; Bacillati; Bacillota; Clostridia; Eubacteriales. The record is from RNAcentral.